UAGGGAAUCUUCCGCAAUGGGCGAAAGCCUGACGGAGCAACGCCGCGCGAGUGAUGAAGGUCUUCGGAUCGUAAAACUCUGUUAUUAGGGAAGAACAAAUGUGUAAGUAACUAUGCACGUCUUGACGGUACCUAAUCAGAAAGCCACGGCUAACUACGUGCCAGCAGCCGCGGUAAUACGUAGGUGGCAAGCGUUAUCCGGAAUUAUUGGGCGUAAAGCGCGCGUAGGCGGUUUUUUAAGUCUGAUGUGAAAGCCCACGGCUCAACCGUGGAGGGUCAUUGGAAACUGGAAAACUUGAGUGCAGAAGAGGAAAGUGGAAUUCCAUGUAUAGCGGUGAAGUGCGCAGAGCUAUGGAGGAACACCAGUGGCGAAGGCGACUUUCUGGUCUGUAACUGGCGCUGAUGUGCGAAAGCGUGGGGAUCAAACAGG
This 429-nucleotide ribosomal RNA is filed under the name Actinomycetes bacterium. Its description in RNAcentral is "Actinobacteria bacterium partial 16S ribosomal RNA". It matches the Rfam family "Bacterial small subunit ribosomal RNA", at positions 355 to 776 of the family's 1533-position model. Lineage: Bacteria; Bacillati; Actinomycetota; Actinomycetes. The record is from RNAcentral.